This 107-nucleotide ribosomal RNA is filed under the name Butyrivibrio sp. INlla16. RNAcentral's name for it is "16S rRNA. Bacterial SSU". Lineage: Bacteria; Bacillati; Bacillota; Clostridia; Lachnospirales; Lachnospiraceae. The record is from RNAcentral.
CUGGCUCAGGAUGAACGCUGGCGGCGUGCCUAACACAUGCAAGUCGAACGGAGAUUUGACGCUGCAGAGACUUCGGUCAAAGCUUGUUAAAUCUUAGUGGCGGACGG